This 232-nucleotide long non-coding RNA is filed under the name Mytilus galloprovincialis (Mediterranean mussel). Lineage: Eukaryota; Metazoa; Mollusca; Bivalvia; Mytilida; Mytilidae. The record is from RNAcentral.
AAAACAUACACACAAAAAGUCAUGUAACAAAGAAUCACAAUAUGGCAUACAGACCAAGCAUAUCAGUAAAACUUUAAGACAAGAUUACACAAAUAUACCAUAGUACAAUAGCAUAUUGACGGAAUGUAUAAGUACAGAGCCACGUCAUAUAUGUAACAAAGAAUAUAAAAAGGCAUAUAGACAAAGCACAUAUCAAAAAUGAAAGACAAGCAACUAACAAGUUUUCGAAGUA